GUGCCAGCAGCCGCGGUAAUACGUAGGGUGCAAGCGUUGUCCGGAAUUAUUGGGCGUAAAGAGCUCGUAGGCGGCUUGUCGCGUCUGCCGUGAAAACCCCAGGCUCAACCUGGGGCGUGCGGUGGGUACGGGCAGGCUAGAGUGCGGUAGGGGAGAUUGGAAUUCCUGGUGUAGCGGUGGAAUGCGCAGAUAUCAGGAGGAACACCGAUGGCGAAGGCAGAUCUCUGGGCCGCUACUGACGCUGAGGAGCGAAAGCAUGGGGAGCGAACAGGAUUAGAUACCCUGGUAGUCCAUGCCGUAAACGUUGGGAACUAGAUGUAGGGCCUGUUCCACGGGUUCUGUGUCGUAGCUAACGCAUUAAGUUCCCCGCCUGGGGAGUACGGCCGCAAGGCUAAAACUCAAAGGAAUUGACGG
Molecule: ribosomal RNA, 414 nt
Filed under: uncultured bacterium
Lineage: Bacteria
Description: bacterial SSU rRNA
Rfam family: Bacterial small subunit ribosomal RNA
Source: RNAcentral